CAUGGAUUGAAAAAUGAAGAAAUGAUGUUCUUUAGUGACAAUGAUCAUUUAAAAAUAGUAAAAUCAUAGCUUUAAAACAUAUCAUUUGUUUACUCAUAUAUUCAUUCAAAUAUUAUGUUUUAAGCCUCUGCUGUAUUUUAACGCUUUUUUCAGAGCCUGGGAAGAUGAUUGUAAGUUAGACUUAGACCCUGCUCUCAAGUAGUGGAUAAGAAACAUGAACAAGUGUGUAUAAAUCAGCCAUCAAUAAGGCAACAGGUGUGAAGCUUCCAGAGAGUUGCAGUUUAAAAGCCAAGGUGGUCAAAGUUGGAGGACAUCAUUCUUAAGUCCUUUAAGGGGGAAGAAGAUGAGGAGACAAGAGGGAAGCACUGGAUUGAGGAAGGCUUCCUGACGGUGGCCUUUCAUUUCAUUUUUGAGGUUUGAGUGGGAUUCAGUCAUGAAGAUGUGGAUGCAGGAGGAUGUCCCGGGUGGCUGAAACCCUACAGGAGCAAAGGCCACAGCACAAGGUGUCUGCGGGGCAUCUGGAGGACCAGGAUAUCAGCUACGUACGGCUACUAAGGAAACUCCAAUCAAAUUCACUCCAGCUAUUUCAAUGGAAAGCAGCAAACCAAAGCAUGGGGGUUCUCAAACCCAGAUCCAUGGACCAAACACAUCAGAACCAUGUAGGAGAGCAUCUGAAAAAUAUGAUUGCCUGGACCCCUGGAAUCAGAAACCUUACUGCUUGGCCCUGAGAAUCUCUAUCUAUUAAAUGGCCACAUCAGAUUCUGACUUUCAAUAAAUCUGAAACUUCCUCUUGCAAUGGGCUAAACACGGACUGUGGAACCAGUUUGGCCCAGGAGAUAAUCCAGACUUUGCUAUUUUUUCACAUGAUGAUGCUGAGCAAGAUAUUCGUCCCCUCUGAAGGGGGCAAUACUUUAUAGUGCUUCUGAUACUACAACAACAAAAAAAGAUAUUCUAGUAUGUGUGAUGUAGGUAAUUGACAUGCAAUCAAGGGUAGCAGCUGUAACAAUAAUUCAGUCAGGUCAAUAUCCUGUCGAUCAGGGUUAAUCAGAUUGUUACUUCCCGAAAUCAUCUGAAUUGCCCGACCUACUUUGGCAAGAAUACUUGCCUGCAGGAUUUUCAUUCAGGAAUGUUAUUUUAGAGCUGCAACUGUAGGUGAUGAGGAUGUGGGAGUGCAUACCCUCGUACACAUUUCUAGCAAUAAAUCAAAUAAGCUAAUAUAAAUAAAAUACGAAAAGUGCAAUAUAUAGCAUUUUUGAUGGGAAUAGUCCUGUGAAGGAAAAUAAAGCGAGGUAGGCAGAUAGGAAAUGCCAGGGUGGGAGAUUGAAGGGUGUAUUUCCAACAGGGCGGUCACGGAGACUUCUCAGAGUAGCAACAUUUAAGCAAAGACCAGAGAGGGGAAAGGGCACCAGCUAGACAUACAUGGAAACAGCACAUCAUGCAAUGGCAGGUAGGGCAGGAAAGGCUGAGGGGCAGGUCAGGGAGCUGCUUCUUUGGCAGUAAGACCCAGAUGGGCAGAGUCCAGGAAACAUGUGCCCUAGAAGACAUGUGCAUUUGCGAACCCAUCUGCCUAAGUCCCCAACGUCCUCAAAUGAGCUUACUGGGAAGAGGCUGUUGAGGAUUAUCCUCUUUCUCUUGAAGCAGAAAUUACAGUUCUGCCUCUAGUUGUGUGGCUUUGUGCACACCACUUAACUGUUCCUGAGCUUCCAUUUCCUCAUCUUUCAAACAAAUAAAUGACACCUGUUAAAUGCCGCGGGCUGUGACCCCUAACAGGUGCUCAUUUAAUGUGGGGUCAGGGAGAUUCCUAACUGCAGGCUGAAGUCAAAGCUGGGAAUAACUUUAGAAGGACUGGGGAAUUAGGAAAGUGACUAAGCCAGGACCUCAGCUCAGCCAGAAUGCAGGAGCCCAGUUUGCAGAAUCAGCAGCAGCUCCACAGGCAUGGCUGUUUAUCAGGACAGGGAAGGGCCAGCAGCAAGAGCAUUUAUGUCAAAAGGCCCAGAGAAUGUUUGGAUGCUCCAAGAAGAGAAAGUCCACAUGAGAUAAAGAGCAAACGAAACAAUAUAAAAUCAUUAAGUAGAUAUUUUUAUAGUAAUAAUAACAACCAUUAAUUAGCAAACGCUUAUUAUGAUGUGGAAAUAACAAGGUGCUUUGGUAUUAGAUAUGGUCCUAAUCUUUGUGAAUUAAGCACUUUACAAAGCAGGAAGCAUGGCUCAGAGAUGCAAAGAGGAGCCUGAGGUUGCACAGGUAAGAAAACUAGCCCCGGCUUUCUGCUUCCAUCUGUCCCCUCCAGAGCCACCCCACUCCCAGGCCCCUGAGUAUCACCAUGUACCCCUGAGCCCAGACCGUAUUUACAAAAUGAAUAUUUCUAAAUGCCGGAGGACAGCAAAAUAUGAAUACACGUGCCUGAGAAAAAACUAACAAAAGACCAAAGCAACUUUUUCUUCUGUGACAGAGCAGGCACGAUUUAAUGCUGAUGUGUUUGUUCAUCCAAGCAUCAGUUUGGGCCAAGGCUCUGUUGUCAUUCACAUUCACGCCCCCAUUCAGCCCAGACCCUUCAGACGCUCAUGAAUGUAGCCAGGCAACCCAGACCCCUUAAGGUGCGUGCCCAUGCGUCAUCCUGCAGUAGGGCCUGGUGAUCAAGAGCACUGGAACUUUCAACUUCAUGCCUGGAAUUAAGUCUGGAUGGGCCACUCUGGAACCUUGAGCAAGCUGUUCAACUCUCUGUGCCUCCCUUUUCUCAUCUGUCAAAGGGGGAUAUGAAUAUUAGAGUAUCAGCCCAUAAGGAGGUUCUGACGGUGAUGUGAGAUUAGCUAUGGAUCAGGCUCAACACAGGCCUGGCAUGUUGUAAAAAGUCACAAACUCUUUACUACUCCCUAAUUCAUUUACUACUCCGUUCAUCGUGUAUUUAAACAAAUACAUCAAUAAUUCUAAUUAUUAUUCAGGUUCAGGAAAACUCAGACUUGUUCAUCUCACUACACAUAAAACACAUCUUUAAGAUUUUCAGCACUCACUCUACCAUCCCCCAAACCCACACAUGCAUGCACACACACACACUCUCACAUACACGCAGCACACAUAUACACACAAGCCACACAUGCAUACCUACAUAUACCACAUACAUACAUGGACGCAUACAUACACCACCACAAAUUCACACAUACAGCACUUAUACAAAAACCCUAUACAUGUAAAUGUACACUCAUUCAAACACACGCCAUACAAAACGCCCACAUAUGCAUAGAUACAUACGCACGCACACCACACACACCCAUCUCAUUCAUUCCCUGCUGACCACAGGGACAUGCUGGGUCAUGCUCUUUCUCCAUUCCGUGUCUCACCUGCUCUUUAUGGCAAGGGUGACUCUCUCCAGUUAGGAAGUUAAAUGCCCCUUCACACUUCUCUGCGGACCUGUGUUUCUUUACCAGGCCACUGCAGUGUUUCCUAAACUCUUAGAAUUCCAUGCUACUCUAGAUUCUUCCAUAGUCUUUUUGGGCUGCUAAAGCAGAAUACUGUAGACUGGGUGACUUACAAACAACCAAAGCUUGUUUCUCACAGUUCUGGAGGCUGGAAAAUCCAAGAUCAAGCUGCCGUGAGAUCCAGUGUCUGCUGAGGGUUUCCUUCUUGGUUUAUAGUCAGCUGUCUUCCCUCUGUGUCCUCAGAUGGCACAAGGGGAAAAGGAGCUCUCUGAUGUCUCUUUUGUGAAGACAAUAAUCUAAUUACCCACCUAAUCACCUACCAAAAGUCCCCUUCCUAAAAUCAUCACAUUGAAAAUUAAGAUUUCGACAUAUGAAUUUUGGGGCAACACAAACAUUCUGUCUUUAGCAACUCUGAACUCCUUGAGACUCUGUUUUAUUAAAAUGUGCUCUUCAAGGCUGAGGACAGCACUUUGAAUAUGGCCUUAUCUUGUAAAAUAUCUAUUGCAUAGAAUAAUCACUUUGAGAAUUGGGCAUAAUUCAGAAUAUGCUUGUUUCAAUUGAACCAAGGACCUAAUACAACUUUGUCAUCCCAAAGAAUAGAGUUGUGGAAUGGAAAGGACCUGGAUUAAUAGUCACUGCACUCACGAUUACCUCCGCCACCAUCAUCAGCUUUGUCACCUGCACGUCAUCACCACUGUCUUCAGGUGGUUCCUGCACAUUAGGACCACCAUCGUUGCCAUUGUUAUUAUCGUCACUCUGUCGGCACUACCAUUGUCAUCUUCACAUUACUGCCACCCUCACAGUCUUUAGGUUCCUAGGAUCUUCUAGCACUUCUCAAAUGUUUGAAGAGCAUUUCAAAGUUCCAUCUGGACCAAGCCUUCCAAAGCCAUUUAGGUUUUAUUUAUUCAGGGUGAAUCAUUAAUUGUGUUCCUUCCACUUCAGCUCUGUGGUGAAUUCGAUCAUCUCUCUCCACUGAUUCAAUCUGAUAGCCUAAAGGAUGCUGCAGGCUGGCUUUGAGUUUUAUGUUUUAGGUAUUUCUCCUGCACAGGACUUUCAGGGAGCUCUAACCACUAAGUCUACAAGUGCUGGAUAUCCUUCCAGAAUCCACCACCCUUCCUGGGAUCCUUCACCGUUUAAGGUUUAAUGAUAGACUAAAUUCUGGCCAGACAGAGCAGGACAAGCACUGCCAGACUGGAGCUCAAGCCUCUUGUGUGUGCUUCAGUCCUAUGUGAUGAGCAGCUGUCUUCUUAAAUAGCCUUAAAGAUACCUUUAAAAAAUCAUUUUUUUUUGUCUUGAAGAAC
Papio anubis (olive baboon) is the source of this 4714-nucleotide long non-coding RNA. The record is from Ensembl. Lineage: Eukaryota; Metazoa; Chordata; Mammalia; Primates; Cercopithecidae.